UUUCCGUAGGUGAACCUGCGGAAGGAUCAUUCAUAAUAAGUGUUUAUGGCACUUUUUUAAAUCCAUAUCCACCUUGUGUGCAAUGUCAGGGUUGAUUUCUCUCUCGAGAGGAUCAGCCCCAAACAUCAACUAUAUCUCAACUCUUUGUCUGAAAAAUAUUAUGAAUAAAACAAUUCAAAAUACAACUUUCAACAACGGAUCUCUUGGCUCUC
RNAcentral lists this unclassified non-coding RNA (212 nucleotides) under plant metagenome. RNAcentral describes it as "partial contains small subunit ribosomal RNA, internal transcribed spacer 1, and 5.8S ribosomal RNA". The record is from RNAcentral.